This is a long non-coding RNA of Tachysurus fulvidraco (yellow catfish), 318 nucleotides long. RefSeq lists it as uncharacterized. The transcript has 3 exons. The record is from RefSeq and is a predicted model, not a curated record. Lineage: Eukaryota; Metazoa; Chordata; Actinopteri; Siluriformes; Bagridae.
AAGUCCAGGUCAGUCAGAAGUCGUCUAUAGCUCCGCCCCUUUUCUUCCUCCAGGCUGAUGUUGACGAUAUACGGUGUCACAUCGGGGUCAUAUUUUUUUGUGAGGGGUUCAUGCCGGGGUUAAAUAGCUGCUUUAUCGCUGAGAUCUGGACCUGGGGAUGAAGCGAGGAAGUGAUCUUUACCUGCUGCUGCUUCCAGUGAUGUAUGAUCUCACAAAACACACGUUUCCAAGCGGCGCCGUAAUUCAGCCACAUCACUGCAUUGUUUCUCAUCUGGUGGACGUCAAAAAAGGCGACGAGUAAAAACCUAUUUGGUGAAA